AAUAAAAAAAAUAAAAAAAUGAUAUACAUUGUAAAAUUAUGGUUUUUAUUUUUUAAAUUAGGCCUUAUUUUAAAAUUGGGCCUCUUAUUAAUUGGAUCGAAUUGCGUUGGGCUUAAUACAAGUCAAUGCAACUCCGGCCCAUUGUUCUUGUCGUCCCCGUCUCCUCCUUCGGCGCCAUUCUCCAGCGUUGCAGCCCUCCUUUUACGUCUUUCGUGCUUCCGCGCUCGGAUCCAAUGGCGACGCGUAGCUUCGUCCUCUGGAUGCACGGGUUGUGCGAUUCCGGAUUGACCAACGAGCCCAUUCCGCUCCUUCUUCUCCGUUCCCGAAUUCAAGCUCGCCAAGCGGUUAUGCAGAUCAAUGGAAAGGGAACAACUUCGUGCUGAUGCAAUUGGACUAACUUUGUUAUGGGUUUCCGCCUUUGAUCUAUAUCGGUAUUUUCCAUACGCUUUCCACUACUUUUUCUGUAUUGUAUCGACGAAAAAAAACAGUUGUUUUGUUGCCAUUUUACCUCAUUCUAUGUUCAAUUAAGAGCGGUAUAUUUAACUAGCUCGGCAUUCAGAUUUUGUGAAAAUUAGGGUGCUUUCAGUGUGAUUUUUGUGCUGUCGAAUUGUAAUUGUAAUGCUUGGUCUGUAUGAAUCUGCUAAAAAAAAGUUUUGAUCUAUAUGUAAAUGUUAUUUCUCCUCAGUCAUCCAUGUUUAGCUUCACAAGUGAAGACAUACUCCUAAAAUUUGUAAUUUUUAACUUUUUGAAGAAUCAAUUUCGGAUGAGUUUCUAGUUUACAAGAUUUUCCUUUUGUGGGCUGAAAGAAAAUUUCUUGAACUUUUAUUAUAUGUAUUGCUGAUGUAAUUGCAUUCUAAAGUUGGGUGUUCUCUCAUUCCUGAUUUUUCAGCUUGGCUUGUCAAAACAGAUGAAGAAUGUCAAAACAGAUGAAGAAUUAUGCUGACAAUGAUUUUAGAUGUUCAGUAAAUAAUCACUGGGGCGAAAGAUUAUGCCAACUAGUAUAACAGAGAUUGUCUAAGUUCUCUGUUGAUUUCAUUUAUCUUUUAAAUUUCAUGUUGAUCAACUUGUAGUCACUUUGGUUCCAGAUUCAUCUCCUUAUAUAGAAAUAUUCUUUAGUUAUGAGAAAUUGAGAACAAAUAUUAUCAAAAACUAGUGAAAUUAUGCACUAUUUUCAAGUCCUUUUUUAUUCACUUAUGUCCCUUCAUUAUGUGAGAUUUGUUAUGGCUGACAGGACUGUGUUAUUUGAGUUGGGGGAAGCCGGACCUCCUUUUCUUGAAUAAGCUGGUAUUCAUGGUGAAUUCAAGGCAAUCACUAUGAUCUGUUUUGCCUUUGCAUCCAUGGAAUUAGAAGAUGAAAACUGAAAGGAGUUCUUUCUCUUAUUUACUUGUAAGGAACAGAAGAGUAGAGAAAGUAUGAUUUCUUCUUUCCUAAAAUUUAUCAGCUCAAAGGCAGACCAAGAACCAGCAAAUCUGUAAUAAUAAUAAAAAUAAAAUUCCUUCCCUUGGCUUUUCCUCCCUAAAGAAACAGGCAAAAAGAAGAUUAAUGAUCACCUUCUGCUCAAAUAUUUAAGUAGACAAAAAGAACACAUUUCCGUUUAUUUUCUCCCUUCUGUUCUUCCACUGCUUUCUCCAAAUAUGCCAAGUUUUUAUCAUCAUCUAAGAUCCUUUCAUUUUACAGGCUGAUCCUAGUGUUAUUCAUUCUAUCACCACUAAGAAUUGCUUCAGCUUGAAUCAUGGAUCAAGACUCGUCUGAAGAGUUCAUCAAGAAGGCCAUCACCAACUUCUCUCAUCAAUAUUCUAUUCAUGCUUGGUGAACCAUGUACCCUUUCUCGAUCAUAUACCGCUAGCUCUGCUAUGGCUAUGCAUCAGCUACCCAACCAUCUUGUUUCCAUUGCAUCCAAUUUCUCUUGAAGGACCCUUAGAUGCCUGGUUAACCGCUUGGAGGGUCUAACCGUUGCAACAUUGUCCGGGAGUAAGAAUUGCUUCAUCUUGAAUCAUGGAUCAAGACUCGUCUGAAGAGUUCAUCAAGGCUAUCACCAACUUCUCUCGUCAAUAUUCUAUUCAUGCUUGGCGAACCACGCACCCUUUCUUGAUCAUACACUUCAAGCUCUGCUAUGGCUAUGCAUCAGCUACCUGACCAUCUUGUUUCCAUUACAUCCAAUUUAUGUAAAUGAUACUUCAAAGCUGCUAUUCAAUUAUCAAUGCUCUCAUUACUGAUAAAAAAAACAAUGACAGGCAACAAUAUUAUAGACUAUAUUCUAUAUGAUGUGUAACUAGUUUGCCU
Molecule: long non-coding RNA, 2283 nt
Organism: Zingiber officinale
Lineage: Eukaryota; Viridiplantae; Streptophyta; Magnoliopsida; Zingiberales; Zingiberaceae
Exons: 3
Source: RefSeq, a predicted model, not a curated record